This 306-nucleotide long non-coding RNA is filed under the name Prunus persica (peach). RNAcentral's name for it is "long non-coding RNA (PPER_LNC007746)". Lineage: Eukaryota; Viridiplantae; Streptophyta; Magnoliopsida; Rosales; Rosaceae. The record is from RNAcentral.
UUUUUUUCCUUUCUUUUUUUUAUUACAUUGAUAUUUUCGAUAUUUUCGAUAUUACAGCGAUAUUUUGACAAAAAAUUGCUGAAGUGUGACCGAAAUUAUCGACAUCUAUAUUUUUUGAUAUUAUCGAUAUUUAGAGGAUAUGUGUAUAGAUACGUUCCGAAAUAUUCGUAACUAGAAAAAACGAUAAUAUCCUCAAUAUUUUGUCGAUAUUAUCGAUAUUUUAGACUAAGGUUGUGAUUAACGGUCAUGAUUGAGAUAUUCAAUGGCAAUAUGUACUUGAAUGGCGGGACAUCAUACCAAGUUACC